RNAcentral lists this ribosomal RNA (301 nucleotides) under uncultured bacterium. RNAcentral describes it as "partial 16S ribosomal RNA". It matches the Rfam family "Bacterial small subunit ribosomal RNA", at positions 509 to 807 of the family's 1533-position model. The record is from RNAcentral.
CAGCAGCCACGGUAAUACGUAGGUGGCAAGCGUUGUCCGGAAUUAUUGGGCGUAAAGGGCUCGCAGGCGGUUUCUUAAGUCUGAUGUGAAAGCCCCCGGCUCAACCGGGGAGGGUCAUUGGAAACUGGGAAACUUGAGUGCAGAAGAGGAGAGUGGAAUUCCACGUGUAGCGGUGAGAUGCGUAGAGAUGUGGAGGAACACCAGUGGCGAAGGCGGCUCACUGGUCCAUUACUGACGCUGAGGUGCGAAAGCGUGGGGAGCAAACAGGAUUAGAUACCCCAGUAGUCCCUGUCUCUUAUAC